CCGAGUUAGGGUCUCCUCCGUGAGGCCCGACCUCCCAACCCUGUGUCUAACAAACCUGUAUGUGUUGCUUCGGCGGAACGGCAGUCGCCCACCACCACCAUUCCCUUCACCGGGGACGGAGGAGGAGGGAGACCGUCGCCGGGGGGUUCUACGCGGUCUCACGACCGUUCCCCUGGAGAGCGUCCGCCGACGGCCCCAACCAAACAAACUCCCAAACCAAAAUUAUAGUGAAAACAAACUUCUGAAUCAGACCUUUUGAUAUACCAAUCAAAAACA
RNAcentral lists this unclassified non-coding RNA (276 nucleotides) under uncultured Ascomycota. RNAcentral's name for it is "sequence contains ITS1". Lineage: Eukaryota; Fungi; Ascomycota. The record is from RNAcentral.